CCGCUCCGGGAGAGUUAGGGCUCCGAGCCGAGCGCGCGGAGCAGCUGGGGCCGGGGCGCGGAUGCUGGAAGUUCACAUCCCGUCGGUGGGGCCCGAGGCCGAGGGGCCCAGGCAGAGCCCGGAGAAAAGCCACAUGAUCAAGAAGCUGUACAAAGUGCCCGACUUCCCCUCGAAACGCCUGCCCAACUGGAGGACCAGAGGGUUGGAACAGCGCCGGCAGGGCUUGGAGGCUUACAUCCAGGGCAUCCUGUACCUGAACCAGGAGGUGCCCAAGGAGUUACUGGAAUUCCUGAGACUUCGGCACUUCCCCACAGACCCCAAGGCUAGCAACUGGGGCACCGUGAGGGAGUUCCUGCCUGGCGACAGCAGCUCCCAGCAGCACCAGCGGCCUGUCCUGAGCUUCCAUGUGGAUCCCUAUGUUUGCAACCCCUCCCCAGGUGAGGAGGUGCCUAGAUAUGGGGCUACAGGGCUGGGUUGUGGGCUUUGCAUUUCUCGGCUCCUGGGACCCUCAGGCAGCAUCUCCUUCCUGCUGCCCACCUCUGGAGCCACUACCUCCUGCUCCUGUCCCCUGGAGCCUGCUUUGUAGACACAAGGAAAACAAGUUUGGCUUCCCUGGUCUCCAUUUCUUCAGCAGCCUGACUUCUUUACCAAGCUGAUGUGAAAAGAAUGUGACCUGGGAAUGCGGAGGCUUCAUUUGGGGUGGACAGCUGCUGUCUGCUGCCUUGGCAGGGGCUCCUACUCCCAAGUGGGGGCUGAGCCCAUGAGCAGGAGCUCAAGGAGCUGCAGGUCUGAGGCCAGACCUGUUUAAUUCUAUCCCACAGAGUCGCUGCCCAACGUGGUGGUGAAUGGUGUGCUCCAGGGCCUCUACAGCUUCAGCAUCAGCCCAGAUAAAGCCCAGCCAAAGGCGGCCUGUCACCCUGCUCCUCUGCCACCGAUGCCCUGAUCAGUCCAGAGGCCUUUGGCUGCCUCCUAAGAAAGUCAUGUGCCUCUGUCCUAUGAACUCCAUAUAAGGCUGGGUCCUCCUUUGGCCUGGAACCAGGACUUAAUUACCCAGUGCCCAGUUGUGCCACAUUCCCACUCAAGGCUCAGAACUUGGCUCGCAUUGGUAGCUGGAGGUGGUAGAAUCUGCAUGCUCUUAGAGCCCAACAGCCAAGGCAGGGUCAAGAAGAUAAGUAAUAAAAGAGGAAGUCAGCCAGGCGCGGUGGCUCAUGCCUGUAAUCCCAGCACUUUGGGAGGCCAAGGUGGGUGGAUCACCUGAGGUCAGGAGUUCGAGACCAGCCUGACCACCAUGGAGAAACCCCGUCUCUACUAAAAAUACAAAAUUAGCCGGGCAUUGUGGCAUCCGCCACCAUGCCCGGCUAAUUUUUGUAUUUUUAAUAGAGACGGGUUUCACCACGUUGGCCAGGCUGGUCUUGUACUCCUGACGUCAGGUGAUCCACCCACCUCGGCUUCCCAAAGUGCUGGGAUUACGGGCGUGAGCCACCGUGCUCGGCCCAAGGCAGGAGAAUCUCUUGAAGCCAGGAGGCGGAAGUUGUGGUGAGCCGAGAUCGCGCCACUGCACUCCAGCCUGGGCAACAAGAGUGAAACUCUGUCUCAAAAUAAAUAAAUAAUAAAGGAAGAAGUCAGCUGGGUGCAGAGGCUCAUGCCUGUAAUCCCAAUACUUUAGGAGGCCAAGGCAGGAGGAUGCUUGAGUCUGGAAGUUUGAGACCAGCCAGCGCAACAUAGUGAGACCUGUAGACCUGUCUCUACCAAAAAAAAAAAAAAAAAAAAAAUCAAUUUAGAGGUAGGCUAUGAAAAAGUACAGAUACAUCCCUUAACAUAGACUGGAGGGUGGUGGCAAAUGUGGAGGCCCAGUAGCUGGCAAAGUUUAGAAGCAGGGGGCAAAAGCUCCUGCCUGACUUUUCCUGGGUAGCUCCUGGGUCAAAAUUUCAGGCAGGAUCCCAGGGAAGGGGCAGGCACCCGUUGCCACAGGAGAGUUGCAGGCAUGUUGGGAUGUAGGCCUAGGGGAGGUGCUGCAGGCUCAAGAACCAGGCCCACACAUUAUAUAUUAAAAAAAAAAAACCCACUUUUUUUUUUAUUGGUCAGUGUUGGUAGGAGUUUGUUACAAAACUGAGUCCAUGGGCCUGUGGAAUGUGAGGGGAGUGGGUCCGCUCCACCAGAUGCCAGCACCGGGGCCAGUGCAGCUCAGAGCCCUGUGGCGGACUACAGGGCCUGCACAGACGGUCACUCAAAGAAAGACGUCCCUGUGCCCUACUCCUUGGCGAUGGCAAAGGGCUUCUCCACCUCGAUCUUGCCGCAGUCUGCGAUGAUCACAUCCUUCAGGGGUUUAUCCCGGCUGUCUGUCUUGGUGCUCUCCACCUUCCGCACCACCUCCUGGAAAAGAAAGGUGGAAGUAGGAGGGCAUGGUGGAUCAGGAGGUCCACCGCUCAGGAGAAAGGCCCCAGCGUAUGGCUCAGGAGGGCUAAGACCCACAAGUGAUCAACAGCACACAAAACUGGAGGCACCAAAAUUCUAACAGACUCCUGGCCAGAGCAGGGAGAAUGCAGAUUUGACGAGGGGGUACAGGAAUUUUGUUCCUUUGAAGUAAGACCCAGGUUGGGCCAAGGGUGAGGAGGAGGAAGAGGGUGACCAGGGCAUGUGGCUUCUCAGGGACACUGCGUUCAGCUGCACUCUGUAUACCUCAGGGGUGGGACCAGCACGUCACUGAGUGAAUGAGGGGAGGGAGGCUCUGGCAGUUGUGCAGCCUUCCUGGCUGGGCUCUGAGGGGGCUGGAAGAAUUUAGAACCUUGGAGGCAUGGAGGUACAGGGUUUAUUCUGGACAGGAGCACUGGGCUGCAUCUGUGGGUUGGGUCCUUUUGGGAAAGGGAUGGACACAUGGAGCUCCUGCCCUGAGGUCUGUGUUGACUCCCCGGUGAGGAUUGCCCAGUAGUAGCCCUUGCUUCCACAACUCACCAUGCCCUCUAGAACUUUGCCAAACACCACAUGCUUGCCAUCUAGCCAGGCUGUCUUGACUGUCGUGAUGAAGAACUGGGAGCCGUUGGUGUCUUUGCCUGCGUUGGCCAUGCUCACCCAGCCAGGCCCGUAGUGCUUCAGUUUGAAGUUCUCAUCGGGGAAGCGCUCACCGUAGAUGCUCUUUCCUGGGAAAAAAGACAGAGCAGGUCAGGGGCGCUGGAUUGCGCCAAACCAAGCAGACAUUCGGGGCCAGGACUGAGGGGGCUUAACCUGUCCUCUGUGCCAGGCUAGGCUGGAGUGGACUACAAGGACAUAAAAGCUGCGUCCUUCCUAUCUUCUGGCCUCAGAGCCAAGCCAUGCUGACUGAGGCCAAGUGGGGCAUCAGGCCAGGCUGAUGUGGUGAACAGCUCACAGAAGGAUUACUUCAAGAAGAUAGUUUUGUGGCUUUUAAAUAAGGCGCAUGUUAUCAGCUCCCCUUAGCUAUAGCCCAGGCCUGCCACGGAGGGACUUUGGUGGAGGGAAGUGCCGUGCAGGAUGCAGGGGAGUCAACAGGGUCGGAACUCUCCAGAAAAGGAGGACUGCUGUGGCUGACCAGCCUGUUUUCCUAUGAGCACAAAAGACACAGGCAUAGCUGCAGAGGAGAAAGCAGCCAGAGAUGGGUGGGGAGGGGCAGAAAAGAGGGGCUGCCCCUUGGAUUCCGGAGAGUCAAAGCCUCUUAACAAGGAAUGAACAGGAAUAAAAGACAGCUGUGAGUGUG
RNAcentral lists this small RNA (3709 nucleotides) under Pan troglodytes (chimpanzee). Its description in RNAcentral is "retained intron". The stretch from base 1192 to 1446 matches the Rfam family "Metazoan signal recognition particle RNA". The record is from RNAcentral. Lineage: Eukaryota; Metazoa; Chordata; Mammalia; Primates; Hominidae.